GGGGUAGUAAUGGUUUCGACAGGGACUACGAAGCUGGAGAAGCUAUCCGAAGGAGAUCGCGUUAAAUCUCAAACCUAAAUAUAAACGCAGACGAUAAUUACGCGUUAGCAGCAGCCUAAGCGCUGACUGCCGUCGGCACGGACGUACCUGCCCGACCGCCAACCGGCGUCAAAACAGACAGGAAACGACAUACGCAAAGCUUUGAGCGUAUGGGCGUAUCAUGAAGCUACCGAUCCGGCAAGACUGUGCGCCGUCUUGCCCUUGAGGGAAUCUUAACAGACGUACUAUGAUAGUAGAAGGACAGGGGACUGGUUUUUGGACACGGGUUCGACUCCCGUCUACUCCACUC
RNAcentral lists this transfer-messenger RNA (349 nucleotides) under Lachnospiraceae. RNAcentral describes it as "NK4A144 sp017633935 Standard tmRNA". It matches the Rfam family "transfer-messenger RNA". From Rfam's summary of the family: Bacterial tmRNA, also known as 10Sa RNA or SsrA, is named for its dual tRNA and mRNA-like properties. Its role is to liberate the mRNA from a stalled ribosome. Lineage: Bacteria; Bacillati; Bacillota; Clostridia; Lachnospirales. RNAcentral also lists the same sequence under 1 other name. The record is from RNAcentral.